AUGGCAUUCUAUUCAGAUCAUCAGGCUUAUGCGAGCAACACUACAAACAGCGCGGAAAGUAUUCAAGAACUGAUAAGUAAGAUUUCCCAUCAAUUAGAUGAUUUAGCUCGGCAGCGAGAAGUAGUUUUUGAGGAUAGGCCUAGUUCUUACGAUCCUUAUUCCGGAGGCCAUCCUUAUGUUGCUCCUACUUGCCAUAUUUGUGGAUUUCAGGGCCAUUUGCCCGCUGAAUGUCAGCGUGGCUACUCUCGCCCUCCAGAUUGUUUUGGCAUGAGCUUCGCUCAAGAGCAUAGCUCAUACCAAAACAAUUACUCAUAUGGGUGCCCUGGAAACCAUAAUAUGUCAUAUAGGAGCAACAACCCUGAGAUCUCAUCGUUUGCUUCUAGUAAUCAUAUGCAGGGAUUUAGGUAUGAAGAGGAGACCCACAACCAUGCACCACAACAAUUUUAUUCAUCUCCUACUCAUAUACCUCAAUACCAGGAGAUGUGUCCAAUGGAGUUAAAUGGUCCUCCAUUUGGUCAACCAACAACUCCAGCACCUUUUGUGCAAUCUCAUGUGCAACUGCCCGCACAAGAUGAGUUCGAUGACAUAGACAAGCUCACACUUUUGAGUCUUGAGUUCACUUGGAGUGCCGAGGAUGAUCCUAUUAGGAAGGUUAUACUAGAUGAACUGAAGAAGAUCAAGAGUGGAAAAGAGCUAGUGGAAGAAGUAAGGAAGAUUGAGAAGAACAUCAACGCUGGUAGCACUAUUUCUUCACAGCUAGAGCUGAGUGUUGCCGAGAUUCCCCUUGAUACAUGUGAGGUUCCAACACCGUCACAUCCGGUUAAGCAAGAUAGCAAGUGUCCAGAGGAAGAAAGACCUCAAAUUGAAGAAGAUGAACUAGAAGACAAGGAACAAGAUGAUCAAGAGCUGCAAUUCCCAAGUGAUCAAGUUGAAGACUCAUCAUCUACUACUCCUGAAGAAGUACAAGAAGCUGCUCUAGAUGAAGAUGAAGAACAUGAGAUUCAUUUGCCUAUUGUCAUACCAGAUUAA
This 1029-nucleotide ribosomal RNA is filed under the name Triticum aestivum (bread wheat). RNAcentral's name for it is "partial small subunit ribosomal RNA". Lineage: Eukaryota; Viridiplantae; Streptophyta; Magnoliopsida; Poales; Poaceae. The record is from RNAcentral.